GGCCUCGUAGCUCAAAUGAUAGAGCACGCGUGUACAAAACGUAGGCUGCGUCCAUGCGUGGGUUCGAAUCCCACCGAGGCUA
Molecule: transfer RNA, 82 nt
Filed under: Echinostoma caproni
Lineage: Eukaryota; Metazoa; Platyhelminthes; Trematoda; Plagiorchiida; Echinostomatidae
Rfam family: tRNA
About the family: Transfer RNA (tRNA) molecules are approximately 80 nucleotides in length. Their secondary structure includes four short double-helical elements and three loops (D, anti-codon, and T loops).
Source: Rfam by way of RNAcentral